CAAUAGCGUAUAUUAAAGUUGUUGCGGUUAAAAAGCUCGUAGUUGGAUCUCGGCAGGCAGGGGGUGGUUCGCUCUUAGCGCUACUGCCCCAUUUGCCUGUGUGAUUGGCGGAGGUUUCGGGGUGCUCUUCGUUGAGUGACCCGGGGCGCCGUCAGGUUUACUUUGAAAAAAUUAGAGUGCUCAAAGCAGGCUUUUCACGCUUGAAUAUUCGUGCAUGGAAUAAUGGAAUAGGAACUCGUUUCUAUUUUGUUGGUUUUCGGAAAUCGAGUUAAUGAUUAAUAGGGACAAUUGGGGGCAUUAGUAUUCAGACGACAGAGGUGAAAUUCUUGGACCGUCUGAAGACUAACUACUGCGAAAGCAUUUGCCAAGAGUGUUCUCAUUAA
RNAcentral lists this ribosomal RNA (383 nucleotides) under uncultured eukaryote. RNAcentral describes it as "partial 18S ribosomal RNA". It matches the Rfam family "Eukaryotic small subunit ribosomal RNA", at positions 592 to 976 of the family's 1831-position model. The record is from RNAcentral.